RNAcentral lists this transfer RNA (69 nucleotides) under Ictidomys tridecemlineatus (thirteen-lined ground squirrel). RNAcentral describes it as "Spermophilus tridecemlineatus (thirteen-lined ground squirrel) tRNA". It matches the Rfam family "tRNA". Rfam says of the family: Transfer RNA (tRNA) molecules are approximately 80 nucleotides in length. Their secondary structure includes four short double-helical elements and three loops (D, anti-codon, and T loops). The record is from Rfam by way of RNAcentral. Lineage: Eukaryota; Metazoa; Chordata; Mammalia; Rodentia; Sciuridae.
GGGACUGUGGCUCAGCAGUAGAGCGCUUGCCUAACACGUACGAGGCCCUGGGUUCGAUCCACAGCACCA